AUUUAAUUGAUUAUGCUUCGUCAUCGGCGAUUUAUUAGGGUUCAGGUGGCCAAAAUUCCGGUUGAAAACAUCUGGCCGUUUGUGUAAGGAGAGCUUGAGAUAUCGGAGGGCCUAGAAAUCUCCGAACUACACUUCUCUUUAU
Molecule: long non-coding RNA, 142 nt
Organism: Ipomoea nil (Japanese morning glory)
Lineage: Eukaryota; Viridiplantae; Streptophyta; Magnoliopsida; Solanales; Convolvulaceae
Exons: 3
Source: RefSeq, a predicted model, not a curated record